UACGGGGGGGUAAGCGUUGUUCGGAAUUACUGGGCGUAAAGGGCUCGUAGGCGGCCAACUAAGUCAGACGUGAAAUCCCUCAGCUUAACUGGGGAACUGCGUCUGAUACUGGAUGGCUUGGAUUCGGGAGAGGAAUGCGGAAUUCCAGGUGUAGCGGUGAAAUGCGUAGAUAUCUGGAGGAACACCGGUGGCGAAGGCGGCAUCCUGGACCACGCUGACGCUGAGGAGCGAAAGCCAGGGGAGCAAAGCGGG
This 252-nucleotide ribosomal RNA is filed under the name uncultured bacterium. RNAcentral's name for it is "partial 16S ribosomal RNA". It matches the Rfam family "Bacterial small subunit ribosomal RNA", at positions 524 to 777 of the family's 1533-position model. The record is from RNAcentral.